This 478-nucleotide ribosomal RNA is filed under the name uncultured archaeon. RNAcentral's name for it is "bacterial SSU rRNA". It matches the Rfam family "Archaeal small subunit ribosomal RNA", at positions 520 to 997 of the family's 1478-position model. The record is from RNAcentral.
CGUAGCCGGUUGAUAAGUCACUGGUGAAAUCCUGUAGCUUAACUGUGGGAAUUGCUGGUGAUACUGUUGAACUUGAGGUCGGGAGAGGUUAGCGGUACUCCCAGGGUAGAGGUGAAAUUCUGUAAUCCUGGGAGGACCACCUGUGGCGAAGGCGGCUAACUGGAACGAACCUGACGGUGAGGGACGAAAGCUAGGGGCGGCGAACCGGAUUAGAUACCCGGGUAGUCCUAGCCGUAAACGAUGCGGACUUGGUGUUGGGAUGGCUUUGAGCCGCUCCGGUGCCGAAGGGAAGCUGUUAAGUCCGCCGCCUGGGAAGUACGGUCGCAAGACUGAACUUAAAGGAAUUGGCGGGGGAGGCACCACAACGCGUGGAGCCUGCGGUUUAAUUGGAUUCAACGCCGGACAUCUCACCAGGAGCGACAGCUGUAUGAUUACCAGGCUGAUGACCUUGUUUGACUAGCUGAGAGGUGGUGCAUGG